RNAcentral lists this ribosomal RNA (1087 nucleotides) under Listeria monocytogenes. Its description in RNAcentral is "partial 23S ribosomal RNA". It matches the Rfam family "Bacterial large subunit ribosomal RNA", at positions 379 to 1466 of the family's 2925-position model. Lineage: Bacteria; Bacillati; Bacillota; Bacilli; Caryophanales; Listeriaceae. The record is from RNAcentral.
UUGAAAUGGCUUUCCCUCCAGAGUGGAUCCUGAGUACGGCGGAACACGUGAAAUUCCGUCGGAAUCCGGGAGGACCAUCUCCCAAGGCUAAAUACUCCCUAGUGACCGAUAGUGAACCAGUACCGUGAGGGAAAGGUGAAAAGCACCCCGGAAGGGGAGUGAAACAGUUCCUGAAACCGUGUGCCUACAAGUAGUUAGAGCCCGUUAAUGGGUGAUAGCGUGCCUUUUGUAGAAUGAACCGGCGAGUUACGAUUUGUUGCAAGGUUAAGCGGAAAAAGCGGAGCCGUAGCGAAAGCGAGUCUGAAUAGGGCGCAUAAGUAACAGGUCGUAGACCCGAAACCAGGUGAUCUACCCAUGUCCAGGAUGAAGGUAAGGUAAUACUUACUGGAGGUCCGAACCCACGCACGUUGAAAAGUGCGGGGAUGAGGUGUGGGUAGCGGAGAAAUUCCAAUCGAACUUGGAGAUAGCUGGUUCUCUCCGAAAUAGCUUUAGGGCUAGCCUCGAGGUAAAGAGUCAUGGAGGUAGAGCACUGUUUGGACUAGGGGCCCUUCUCGGGUUACCGAAUUCAGAUAAACUCCGAAUGCCAUGUACUUAUACUCGGGAGUCAGACUGCGAGUGAUAAGAUCCGUAGUCGAAAGGGAAACAGCCCAGACCACCAGUUAAGGUCCCCAAAUAUAUGUUAAGUGGAAAAGGAUGUGGGGUUGCUUAGACAACCAGGAUGUUGGCUUAGAAGCAGCCACCAUUGAAAGAGUGCGUAAUAGCUCACUGGUCGAGUGACCCCGCGCCGAAAAUGUACCGGGGCUAAACAUAUUACCGAAACUGUGGAUGAACCUCUUUAGAGGUUCGUGGUAGGAGAGCGUUCUAAGGGCGGUGAAGUCAGACCGGAAGGACUGGUGGAGCGCUUAGAAGUGAGAAUGCCGGUAUGAGUAGCGAAAGAAGGGUGAGAAUCCCUUCCACCGAAUAUCUAAGGUUUCCUGAGGAAGGCUCGUCCGCUCAGGGUUAGUCGGGACCUAAGCCGAGGCCGAUAGGCGUAGGCGAUGGACAACAGGUAGAGAUUCCUGUACCAGUGCUAAUUGUUUAACCGAUG